GACGAACGCUGGCGGCGUGCCUAAUACAUGCAAGUCGAACGCAGUGGGGACGGGUGAGUAACACGGGGGUAACCUCCCAUGAGAGGGGAUAACACUUGGAAACAGGUGCUAAACCGAUACUGAUGGAUGAACCCGCGGUGCAUUAGCUAGUUGGGGAGGUAACGGCUCACCAAGUCCACGAUCCAUAGCCGCCCGGGGAGGGUGAUCGGCCACACUGGACCUGAGACACGGCCCAGACUCCUACGGGAGCCAGCAGAAGGGAAUCUGCGGAAAUGGACGAAAGUCUGACCGAGCAACGCCGCGUGAGUGAAGAAGGUUUUCGGACCUUAAACCUUUGUUGUUAGAGAAGCGGUAUCUAACCAGAAAGCCACGGCUAACUACGUGCCAGCCGCCGCGGUAAUAC
Molecule: ribosomal RNA, 403 nt
Filed under: uncultured bacterium
Lineage: Bacteria
Description: partial 16S ribosomal RNA
Rfam family: Bacterial small subunit ribosomal RNA
Source: RNAcentral